AGCAAAAGUGCCACGUCAAGACUGGAAAUCACAGCCCUUCAGAGUGUCUCAGUCAAUGCAGCAGACAGAUUUCAGGGGGGAAGUCGAAUCAGCCCCUGGUGCAGGAAGACAGGCUCUUCCCCUGCACCCACCGGGACAGGAUUUUCAGUGCACAGAUGGAAGCUCCCGGAGAUCCUGCUCCGUCGCCCCAGUGUUCAGACUACCUGUUCAGGACAAUGCCGUUGUACAGUAGUCUGCACAUUGGUUUGUACACUAGGGACCAAGAAGCCCCCGGGGACUCCUCUGGGAAAGAACUGCUGGAAGGGAAGACCAGCGGGUAAGGCCUCUGUGACCGCUCACCUGGGUCUGUGACUGGAGGGACUAGGUAGGAAAUCCCAUCAUCUGUGUGAGCAUGGGAGAGAAACUGGGCUGGAUGUGUGAUGGAUACUGACGUUUAGCUUCUAAGAGCAAGGAAGGUUGUGUGGUAAAGGGUGAUGUGCUGGUAUUUUUUUUUUUAAUUUUUAAAUAUUGAUAAUUCAAAUGUCUUAAAUUUAAAGGCCUUCUACUUUAAAAUGAAAUAUGAAAAACCGCACUCCAGACACCUAAGAAUAACUGAAUGAGACUUAGUUUUGAAUGGCUGAAAUUGAUAAGUCACAGCCUUAAAUAGGGCUAUGAAUGAGCGCUAUGCUGUAACUGAAUGCAUUUUGCCCUAAAGUUAAAAAAAAAAAAAAAUACUUGCACUCUUCAAAAUUUCAUAUGAACAAAGAGCUUGUCUAAAUAAUUGCGAAUAUAAUAUAAACACCAGGAAGAAUAGUACCAACCAUAAAAAAGGAGCCUUCCAAGCUUUGCCACUAGACAGUGCGGAUGGGACCUUGGCAAGCGAAGAGUGCCAACCCACAAUUUACUGAGUCAGCAACUGAACAGCCCAGGAAUAGAAACUUCUAGCUUUAGAUAUCUAACUAUAGGCACUGGAUUUAUUCUUUUAAAAUCCAAGGAUGGUUGAUACUUGCUCAUCAGCUGGGGCCUGUAGCGGUAUUUUACAAGGCUUUUACUUGUCCCAGGCUUUAAAAUGAUAAGGUACUUUGUCUAGAAACCCACUGAUAAAAAAGGAAUUUGUAAACGAAGGCAAAAGUUUUCCUUGGUCAGUUUCCAGCUGUCCUGGAGGUGAAAGAGUGGGGGAGGGGAGGAGGUGGGAAGGAAGAAACCCUCAAGCUGAAUGGAACCCUGAUAAAGAAAAAUAAUGGAGCCUGGGUUGCCAUGUGAGUCGGGUGAUGUAUUGAACUUCAGAGGUAGGUCCCUCAAAGAAAGUUCUGGAAAAAAUGUUCCUGCCGUACCCAUAAACUCAACUUUCAAUUUGUUUCUCUCCCUAAACAAUUCUAUACCUGCUUUUUCUGGAAAAUGAAUAUAGUUUCUUUUGUCCACCUCUAAAUACAAAUCCUUUUCUAAGUUAUCCAUUCUGCAACAAUUCAAGAAUGAACACAAGUUCUCUUUUGUAAAAUAUUUUUUUGCAGUGGAAUUCCCUAAUUUCUUUUUCAUCAAAACAAUUUAUUUUAAAAAUUAUAUUUCAUAUCAUACUAAAACUGGUGUAAUGGACAUAAAAGGUUUCUGGUGUAUUAUGGUGAUUAGCUAAAAUAUAAAUAGCAAGCAGACACUUAGCUAUUUUAUACUUAGAUAAAAUAGGAUAGGCAUCCUUUUAUUUUCUACUGAGAGAGAAUUCUCUACUGUUUUUUGAAAGACCAACUGAGAUUUCAAAACUUACAUAGUUUCUUUUACAUAGAAAAACUAAAAAACACUGAGUUAACUUAUAGAAGUUUAAUUUGUUUCAGGAAACAUUUUUACUAACUGAUAACAAUUACUAAAAGCACUAAUACAAUGUUUACGAUUUCUCAAAUUUUGAGAAUUAUUUUUUACUCUAGAAAUGUCUGAAUUUUAUGACUUACUUUCAUUUAAUGCAUAUUUAAUUUUUAAAUUCUCUUCUCCUAUUAAAUAGCCUUUUUGUUUCAAAGAGACUAACCUCUACAGGUUCCUGACCUACUUUCUCCCAAGGGAUGAUUUUUAGUCUGAAGAUAGAAAGGAGUUAAGGGUGAGUCUGGCGUACGUCCAAGAGUAGAAAUAAUAAGCAUUACUUUGUAAACCCAACAGUCUCUGCCUAUGUGUGGUGGCAUUCUAACAACCCAUUUUCAAGGCAAGCUUUAAAGAAAUGAGGAACAACAUACUUGAUUUUAAGUAUGAGUUAAAUUAAGAGAAAAGAAAAGGUCUUUUUAUAAACCUCUACUGAAUGGAUUAGUGUAUACGUUGGUACUAUACCACCAUAAAUACACAGUAUCAUAAAGAAACAGCGAUAUCUACUUCCAAGAAACUUAGAAUAAUGUAUAAUUUUAUUUUAAUAUUACUUUAGAAGGAGAUAUACAAAUAUUUUAGGAAUUGUGGAAUGUAUCCAGAGGAAACUAACCAACAGCGAACUUCUUAAACUAAAAUUGCUCCUGGAGUGAUGGUAAGUCCAAGUACUAAAAUGAAAACGUCGUACGUGUUCAUGAUGAGAAAACAUUUUGUGGAGUCUGUCCAAACUGCACUCGGAUAGAAAUGAUGUUGUUAUUUUACAUUUCAGAGGGUGAAUGACUGAUUAAGUUAGACUAGGUCCUGGGUCAAAAGAACUUUUUUGACCAACUAAGAGAAAUUCUGACCUGGAGCUUCAAGGCCAUCACUCUACAGUCUACUUAAAAUUUCAAAUUAUUUUUUAAGCCACAUAUCUCAAAUUCAAAGAACGUUUGUUUAUACUGGGACAGCGUUUCGCACUGAUCACUUUCCUGCAAUUAGUCAAUAGGCUUAAUAUUCUUCCUGCUUGCCAUUUGAGCUUUUGGCUUAGAUAAUAUGUUUAUGUUUUUUAAAGACCAAAAUAUACUGUCUCCCCCACCUCUUGCCUACAGACCACCCAAGUAUUUCACUCUGUGGGAAAGAGAAAGUUUAGGCAUAAAAAAUACUAGUGAAAGAAUUUUUUUUUCUCUUGCUGAAGUUUUGGGCUGUUGUGGGAAAUGAAAAGAAACUACAACUUGGUAGUUUUUAAAAUGUCUUUCACCCACAAAUGUCCAUGCUUAUGGAAAGCCCAAGCAAGCUCUUAAUGACUCCCUAAAAUCAGCUUUUUGCUCUUAUGUCAGGAUAAUAACUUCCCAUCAUAAUAAUGUCCAAAUAAUAACAAGAUCAUCACUUAGAAAUCCUAUCUUAAAAUAACUAGACGGUCAGGCUCUAACCUCAGACAGGAAAUUCCUGUUAAGAUCAGAACCCUUGUUACUUUGGUGUCCUACAGGUAGAUACAAAUACUUAGCCCUUUAUCAAAGGACUUUUAUUAUUCUCUCAUCAGUUGUAAUAAAUAGAGAUAAUGAAGUAAAUGAAGCCAAAUAAUUAAAUUUUUAUUUUGGACCGUCUGGUUUCAGGAUACCCAGUUUACUGGAGUAGCUUUGGCUUAAUUUCACUGCUCGAGAUUUAGAAGACAAUUCCUUUCUUGCAUUUCUUUCUCAAGAAAUAAAAGAUGGGAAGAAAAUAAGGCAUCAUCAAAAAUAUUAAAUACUACAUGCUAUGAUAAUUGUGUAAUAGCUCUUUCAUAUUUUAGAAUAAGAUUUUAAGUGAUAAUCAUCUAAGUGUAGUGUGGGAAAUGGGGGACAUCUUGUACUUUUUUCUGUCUGAUUAUUUUUUUAACAAGCUUGGGUCAGGUUCAACAUAACUGUGAAUUAUGCACAUGGCACAUAUUUACUAUAAAUGUGUUUUGAAAAUCCACUAGGAAAAAAAAAUGAAUUGUCCCCAUAUCUCAUGAAUGGAACAAUCCUAUUUUUCCUCAUUUUCCAGCAAGAGUUAUUUUUCCUGGUAAAACUGCUAUGAUUUUUUCAGGCUCAAACAUUUUGGAGUACUUUGGUAUAAUAAAACUGUUUCAUAUUAAAAGAUAACACAUAAACUCACAAAGAUUUCCUUUUUAUUUUUUUCAGGUUACAUGCAUCAUUCCUUUAAUUGAGCAGAGUAAACUGGAUCAAAUUAUUUAUGAGAGAGAGAGAAGGGAAAGCGAUAUACAACUAUAGUAAUUUUUAAUUACUACCAGUAAAUUCUUUGUAAGUGACUCACUCUAUAAUUAUUUUCUGUUGCACUAAAUGAAACAACAAUAACCAAACAGCAUUUAAAGGUACUUGCUUUGUGCACACUUUGUAAUUGUUUAAAUAGUAGCCAAGUUUUGAUUCUAUCAAGGAAGAAAAAUAAGUUUUCUCUGAAGUGGGCAGAAGCACACAUAAAAUUUCUUGAAAUUAAAUAGUUACAGAUAAAAUUGUAUUUAUUGGCCUGUUAAAAAUCAUACCAUAUCUAGGCACUGGGUGAAAAUUAAGAUUUUCAGAAAACGGUCACUUUUUAUUCUCUAAAAAGUAUUCUGUUCUCCAUAAAACUUCUAUUUGCUUUGCUUUUUUUAUAAUUUUACAAUUAAAGGGAAAUAAUAAAGUAUUUGGUUUCUUUAAAGUUCUUUGAAAAUAUCUCUAAUAUAUAUUCAUUGGACAAUAAUGUAUAUUUUUUUAUUUUUAAAGGAAUGCCACUUUUUAAAAUGUUGACUCUUUGGAUAUGUUGUUUUUAAAAGGAGACUGAAAUUGUUAAAUGCCUCUACAGAUGAAAUUGUUGAUUUAUAUUAAAAUAGCCUGAAUUAUUCUUGCCUCUCCAGGGUUACAUUUUACAUUUGUAUAUUUUACACUAUUGAUUCUUUCUUAUACAAACUAGGAUCUGGUUUCCAGUUUGGACAUGAGGUGAAUUUUUCUGUGUCUGUAGCUAAAUUGUAUUAGCAAUUUUAAAAACACAUUCUGAACUUCUGAACACUACCAUGGUUAACAACUAUCUAGUUCAUACCUUUGAUUCAUGGUAUUAAUUAACGCAAAUUGCCUUUUAUUUGAUUUUCACAUGUAUAUGCUAAAAUUUUGCACUUAAAAGGAAAAUGAAAAAUUUUAAAUAAAUUCCUGUUGUUUGAUACAAUAAAAUAUAUUCCCUUAUAAAAAUCCCAUUAUCAACACAUCAGAUACCAAAGUCUGUUGGCUGAGUUUGCAAAUACAUUAGGCUCAUUAACAAUUUUGAAAAUGGCUGCUGUUAACAUGUAAAUGUCAAUUUUUUUUCUUCAUGGGCAAGGCUGUGUGACGUAUUUACUAUAAGAAACAUGUAUAAAUAGAUUCAUUAUCUUUAAUUUCAUUGUUAAGAUAUGCAGGGUUUUUGUGAAGAAGAAAAUCAUCUGGUCCGAUUACUCUGAGCUCUGACUGCAUGAGGACCAGUGAUAAUAGGAAUUGGAUUUAAAAAAAUAAAAAAACACAAAAACAUACAUUGGAGCAUUUUUUCAUACCCUUAAAAUCAUAUGAGUUUUCUGUUUUGCCAACUAUCCAUGUUAGCACGUUUGGAUCAAAUGUAUAAAGUAUACUUUCUGAAUAAAGUCAAAAGUCUAACUUGUUUUUAGUUCCAUAAUGUUUUAAUGUUUAAUUCUAUUGUGUGUUUUUCUCCUUUCCCCUUACCCUCCAAAAUCACCAAACCUGGAAAACAGGCUGAUUGUAUCUGUCCAUGAGCAAAGGAAACCUGAAGGACCCAAGGGCCUGGCUGGACAGAGUUGUCAUGUGUCUGCCUGUCUACACUUGCUGUGCAGAACAUCCGCUCACCUGUACAGCAGGCACAGACAGGCAGUCACAUGACAACCCAGCCUGAAUGACAACCAGCCAUUGAAAGAGCAGCCCUCACACCAUAGCAUCUACACCAAGAGCUACAACCACAAUGAAAGGCUUGGGGGCCUGGGGUUUUAAUCUGUUGGCUUAUUAAAACUCGUCUGUAAUAUUUUAAUUUUGAUUCGCAUUUUAAAACCCACCCAAAGUAAAGUGAGUGGUGCCUAUGAAAUACAAUAAAACCCAUUUCUGAAAA
Nannospalax galili (Upper Galilee mountains blind mole rat) is the source of this 5892-nucleotide long non-coding RNA. RefSeq lists it as uncharacterized. The record is from RefSeq and is a predicted model, not a curated record. NCBI's taxonomy places the organism in Eukaryota, Metazoa, Chordata, Mammalia, Rodentia, Spalacidae. The transcript is spliced from 2 exons.